AACAAAGCUUCGAGCAGUUAGUCUCUAAGACAAACUGAGAUUUUGCAUAGGCUGAUCUUGAACCAGGAUGGAGUUUUGAGUUGACUAUCCUCCGAGCUGAACCGAGGUUUUUAUAAGGGUUGACCAUAUAAUGAACCAAGAUUUUUACUGGGCUGAUCUCGAACCUUCCGAGCUUGUACACAUGCUAAACUCAAAAAGCAAAUGAGAUUUUACACUAGGCUGGUCUCAAACCAAUAUAGCUUUUAACCGAGUUGAGAUCGAGAAAUGAUGUGAAGAUUUUUCUCUGGUUAUUCUUCACAAACCAAAAAGAGAGUUUUUCUUCAAAGGCAAAGCUCACGAACCAAACAUAAACUUAUUAUAAUCCCCCAAAACCAACAAAGAGUUGUUACACUGGUUUAACUCUAUAUCAAAAUGAUCACUUCCUAAAGAAUGACGAUUUUACUAAAGAGAAAACUACUCGAUAAAUUUACAGUUUAAACCCUUACCUAGAACAAGUUUCUUACCGAACUCAAGAACACUAUCAAAGCACUAUGGAUUAAAUAAGUGAGAAAAAGAUUAAAAUGAUUUAGAGAGAUAAUAAGUGAGAUUAUGGACUUGAUUGAACCUCAUCUAAUCGAUUAGGUAUGUGUUCUAAUGGAUUAGACAGUUCAAAAACUUGUCAUAAUCAUCAAAACUUAAUCAAAACCACUUCAAAUGAUGUUGCUUCAGGUGUUGUCAUCAUCAAAACCAAAUCAUAAUCAAAGUUAAACAUUUGCUUCUUGAAUCUUGCUAUCCAUAAGCUUUGUCAUCUUGAAU
This 795-nucleotide long non-coding RNA is filed under the name Lathyrus oleraceus (garden pea). Its description in RNAcentral is "Pisum sativum (pea) long non-coding RNA (PSAT_LNC015802)". Lineage: Eukaryota; Viridiplantae; Streptophyta; Magnoliopsida; Fabales; Fabaceae. The record is from RNAcentral.